UACAGAGGGUGCGAGCGUUAAUCGGAAUUACUGGGCGUAAAGCGCGUGUAGGCGGACUUGCAAGUCAGAUGUGAAAUCCCCGAGCUCAACUCGGGAACUGCAUUUGAAACUGCCUGUCUUGAGUAGUGGAGAGGAAAGCAGGAUUCCUGGUGUAGAGGUGAAAUUCGUAGAUAUCAGGAGGAACACCGGUGGCGAAGGCGGCUUUCUGGACACUUACUGACGCUGAGACGCGAAAGCGUGGGGAGCAAACAGG
RNAcentral lists this ribosomal RNA (253 nucleotides) under uncultured bacterium. Its description in RNAcentral is "partial 16S ribosomal RNA". It matches the Rfam family "Bacterial small subunit ribosomal RNA", at positions 524 to 776 of the family's 1533-position model. The record is from RNAcentral.